RNAcentral lists this small nuclear RNA (196 nucleotides) under Prunus dulcis (almond). RNAcentral describes it as "sRNA ncRNA". It matches the Rfam family "U2 spliceosomal RNA". From Rfam's summary of the family: U2 is a small nuclear RNA (snRNA) component of the spliceosome (involved in pre-mRNA splicing). The record is from Rfam by way of RNAcentral. Lineage: Eukaryota; Viridiplantae; Streptophyta; Magnoliopsida; Rosales; Rosaceae.
AUACCUUUCUCGGCCUUUUGGCUAAGAUCAAGUGUAGUAUCUGUUCUUAUCAGUUUAAUAUCUGAUACGUGGGUCAAUGGUCCACACGAUAUUAAAUUAAUUUCUUUAGGGGGAGAGCUCACCACAGUAGCUUGCUAUUGGAGCUCUCAAGCGUCGCCCAAGCGUUGCACUAUUGCAUGGGCCUGGCGCACCCCAC